UACAUCAAUGCUCAUCCAACUUUCACCAUUAUUGGUGUCUACCUUAUAUGAAAGUUGUAAGAGUAUUUUCAAGAACACAUUAUAAAUCAAAAUUAAUACAAUCAAGAUAAUUCUUUCAACAUUUUAAUACAUCUCUUCAUUUAUCCGAAUUCUUCAUGGUGUCUGAUAGUAGUUCAUCAUUCAAUUUUUUCUCCUAUAUUAUUUCAGUUUAUGUUGGAAGCAUUUUCUUGAUGUUGUUGGUGGUCUAAACGUUAUGGCAAUAAUUAAAGCUAUUACAACAUGCUUGAAUUAUCAAAUCAAUUGGGCAUGUAAUAUUCAAAAUGACAUGAACGUAAAAGUAAAAAAUUAUCGCUCCAAUCUGGCAUGUUUUCGCUCAAAUCAAGGUAUGUAGGUGAGUUAUUCUUACUAUUUUAUUGUUAUAUAAAUAUUUUGAGUUAUGUUAUAAAUUAUUGAAUAAAAAAAAUUAUAAUUUGUAUACCAAACAUCAUACACUUGAGUUGGCCAAAAUACUUUUGUUAAAUCCUUGUGUAUUAUCAUUAACCGAAGUCAAAAUGCAUGGUCACCAAAAUGCUUGAAACGUCAAUUUGUUUGAUCUAAAUUCAUGUAUAUGUAGAAAAGUAUAAAUUGUAACUCAGAAUUAUUAAAAUUUUGAAUUGGGAAUUGAUAAGCCGAUUUAUUUUAAAAUAUUAAAGAUUAAAUGCAAUGAAACAACUAUUUUUCAGUUUUUUUAAAAAUUAAUGAUCAUGUGAUAAUUUACAAAAUGUUUGAAAUGUGAGUUUGAUUGAUUUAAAUUCAUGUAAAUAUAGGAAAGUAUAAAUUCUAAUUCAGAAUUAUUUAAAUUUUGAAUUGAGAAUUGAGAAGUUAAUUAGAUUUAAAGGUUAAAGUUUAAAUGCAACUGGAUAACUAUUUUUUAUCUUUUUUUUUUUUUUCUAAUUAAUGAUCUUGUAAAUGUUUACAAAAUUCAUUAAAUUUAAAUUCAAUUUCUCUAAUUAAUGAUCCUGUAUAUAAUUACAAAAUUUAUUAAAUUCAAAUUCAAUUUCAAUUAAAAGUAAAUUUUUUACAUUUAACCAGAAAGUCCAAAAAAAAAAAGAAAGAAAAAAAAAAUAGGAACCAAUCAAGUUGUUUGUAUUAAAAAUGAUAAAUUUAUUAAUUAUGGUAAAUGUUAAAAUAAUUUAAACAAAUAUUACUCCUUCUGAAUUUGAUGUUUAUUGGAUUUUUUAUAAUAAAAAAUUUAAAAAGACAGAAAAAAGUAUCCCAAUCCGUCACCCAUAUUCCCCACUUCACACAGAUAAAGCAAAAUAUUAAAAAAUCUAAAUAAUUUACAUAAAUUUAAAAAUUAUGGAACGAUUAUUUAUAAACUGUAAAAGAAUUUUUUGGGUCUUUAUCUAUUCAUAAUUUUUUGUUUUAUUUUUUUGUGAUUUAGCUUUUCUCUUCUUUCUUAGAAGAAGGCUUUGAAGCAGUUGGAAAGCCACUAUUUAUGAGACUUGCGUAUGCCUUAUGUAUAUUGCAAUUCUUUGGAAAAAAAAAGAUUUUGAAUGCAUGAAAGUUAUUAUGCUAUUUAAUUGUCAGAAAAAUUAAUACGACUAUUAAAGUAGAUAUUAUAUUAACUUGAUGCUAGAUGAUCGUGUUGGUAGAAAACACAAACCAUAAAUCUCUACAUUCAUUUUGUCAAUUAAAAUCUUAGGAUAUUAUUUACAUAUAGUCAAGAUGCAUAUAUUUUUUGUCAUUUUGAUCUUCAAGUGAACACUUAAUCGCAAUAAAUGUAUAUGAAAUUUGUAAGAAAUAGUCAUAUUUGAUAGCUUUGUGCAAUUAUGAUAUGAUUAAUUAUUUUAUUUUUCAAGAGUAUUAUUGAUUCAUUAACAAAUUUAAAUAUUUACGUUACAUAAAUCAAGUUUGCAUAUAAAUAAUUUGUUUAUUCUAUAAAGUAGAUAUCACCGCAAAUUAGUUCUGCAUUAAAGAAGUUUUUUAUUUAUGCCUAUGCAUUAAAGAGGAACAUGAACUUAAUUAUACUGAAGUUUGUGGUCAAUUUUAUUUUCCUUAUUAAUCAACAUUAUCUUUAAUAAUCUUAAUAUAAUUCGAUUCACUGGGUUUCAACGAGUCGAUGCAAGAAAUCAAUCAGAGUCAACUGCUCUCUAUCUUCACUUUAUAACGAAGGAUGACGUAUAAAAUAAUUAAAAAAACUUUAGGAAAAAUAAAAACUUUUGUAGACAUAUUUAUGUGUUAUCCAAUUUUCUUUGUUUUUUUUUAAUUAUGUAUUUAGUAUUCUUUUUAUUUGAAUAAAUUUAUGCUUUCAUCUAGGCAUGUAAGAAACUUCAGAAAUACAAAAACAUUGCUUCUGUCGUUUGAAUAGUAGUAGUAGUUUUACAUAGUUGUUUACUAUUUUUUAUCAAAAGAUAGUCUUUUUUAUAAAAGUUUUUUUAAAAAAAUUAAUUUUAAAACUUUAUGAGAUUAUUAAAAUAUUGAAAAAAAUAUUGAUAUACUUUAUGGUAAAUUAUUAAAAUAAUCCUUUAUAAACAGUUUAAACAAACUAAAAAUAACAAAUCAGUUUUAGAUUUGAUAUUAUUUAUUAUAUACGAUGUAAAAUAGUAAACAACUAAAACUAACUAAAAUAUUAUAUUAUAAUAGAGAAAAAUGUAAAUAAAAUGGGAGAUAGUAAUAAUGUGAGGAUAUUCUACUUGAGUUAAUUUUAAAAUUUUAAUUAAUUAAAUAAUUAAUAUAUAAUUGAACAAUAUAACAGAAGCAUAAAUAAUAGAUCAAGAGUAGCAAAUUCUAUAUCAAUCUUAAAUUUAAAUGAGAGUGGUGAUAAUAAUGAUAUUAAAGACACCUAACAAGCUAAUGAAGUCACAGUUAGUAAACUAAUUAAAAAAUAGACGAAAAACUGCAAUAAAGACAAAAUAGUAAAAUAAUUUAUAUAAUUUGUAUUAUUUUCUCCAUUACUUUGAUAAAAAUGUUCUUUUCUGUUUCAGAAUAAAAAAUAAAUAUAUCGUGGAGAAAACAUAAUAUGCAUUCAAUUCUAAUUUGUUUCUCUAUAAUUAUUUAUAAUUUUGUUAUAUUUGAAAUAUCUUUUGCAGAGAAUGUUGAUCUACUAAAUUGCGAAUUGUUGAGAAGUACAAGGACUUCAAACAAGGGCAAUUGCGCUAAAAGUGACAAAAGAGUUUCAAAAUGAGGUGUAGGUAACUCAAGUUUUAAUAACUAAGUGUAGGUGACAAUUACUUUAUUAUGGAUUAAGAAAGUUGGGGAAGUUUGAGAGUAACCCGCAAGUUUUUAAAUUUACACUUUGAUUCAAAUGUUAACCAAAUAUAAUAGAAAACGGGAGGAAAAAUGUCACCACCCGAGGCUACCCCUUAGUCGCGACAACGGUGCUUACGGUCACAAGUGACCACAAGCUAACCCAUGAGCUGGUACCUGCUGUAACCACUGAGUAAACUGAUAAUAAACAACAUAUGCG
RNAcentral lists this long non-coding RNA (3448 nucleotides) under Capsicum annuum. Its description in RNAcentral is "long non-coding RNA (CANN_LNC007803)". Lineage: Eukaryota; Viridiplantae; Streptophyta; Magnoliopsida; Solanales; Solanaceae. The record is from RNAcentral.